CGGAGAGCGUGCAUGAGAAACGGCUACCACUUCUAAGGAAGGCAGCAGGCGCGCAAAUUACCCAAUCCUGACUCAGGGAGGUAGUGACAAGAAAUAACAAUAAACCGGCUUAUGCCGGUUUAAUUGGAAUGAGUACAAUUUAAACAUCUUAACGAGGAACAAUUGGAGGGCAAGUCUGGUGCCAGCAGCCGCGGUAAUUCCAGCUCCAAUAGCGUAUACUAAAGUUGUUGCAGUUAAAAAGCUCGUAGUUGGAUUUCUGCGGGGACGGAGCGGCCGGAUGCAACUUGCGUCUCGAGCUAGCGCUUUCCCCGCAUCCUGCCGCGAACCGUGCUACCAUUAGCUUGGUGGCGCUGGGGAUCGGCUCGAUUACUUUGAGAAAAAUAGAGUGUUCAAAGCAGGCCACACGCCUUGAAUAAGUUAGCAUGGAAUAAUGACUAAGGACUUUGGUUCUUUUCGUUGGUGUUCGGGACUGAAGUAAUGAUUGAUAGGGACAGUUGGGGCGGUCUGUAUUCCAAAGCGAGAGGUGAAAUUCUUAGACCUUCGGAAGACAAACAGCUGCGAAAGCGUUCCGCAAGGAUGUUCCCUUUGAUCAAGAACGAAAGUUGGGGGAUCGAAGACGAUCAGAUACCGUCGUAGUCUCAACUAUAAACUAUACCAGCUAGGGAUCGGCCAACGUUUAAUUAUUCGACUUGGUCGGCACCUUAUGAGAAAUCAAAGCAUCUGGGUUCCGGGGGGAGUAUGGUCGCAAGGCUGAAACUUAAAGGAAUUGACGGAAGGGCACCACCAGGCGUGGAGCCUGUGGCUUAAUUUGACUCAACACGGGAAAACUUACCAGGUCCAGACAUAGGAAGGAUUGACAGAUUGAUAGCUCUUUCUUGAUUCUGUGGGUGGUGGUGCAUGGCCGUUUUUAGUCGGUGAAGUGAUUUGUCUGCUUAACUGCGUUAACGGACGAGACCCCAGCCUGCUAAAUAGCGCGGCCGAGCUUUGCUCGGUGCGAGCUUCUUAGAGGGACCAUGAUGCGCGAUAGCACAAGGAAGUUUGGGGCAACAACAGGUCUGUGAUGCCCUUAGAUGUUCUGGGCCGCACACGGGCUACACUGGCGCCUGCAACGAGCAUAUCAGCUGGCCCGAGAGGGUCUUGGCUAAUCUUUGGAACCGGCGCCGUGCUUGGGAUUGACCAUUGCAAUUGUUGGUCAUGCAACGAGGAAUGCCUUGUAAACGCGAGUCAUCAGCUCGCAUUGAAUACGUCCCUGCCCUUUGUACACACCGCCCGUCGCUCCUACCGAUGAAUGUUCCGAUGAAAUUUUCGGAGAGCGCCGGAGAACGGGGCUCUGCCCUGCAGAACUGGAGGCUCAAAGUCACUUAAAUCUGAACAUUUCGAGGAAGGAGAAGUCGUAACAAGGUAACC
This 1407-nucleotide ribosomal RNA is filed under the name uncultured Rhizaria. RNAcentral's name for it is "SSU rRNA". It matches the Rfam family "Eukaryotic small subunit ribosomal RNA", at positions 384 to 1804 of the family's 1831-position model. The record is from RNAcentral.